AGUAAAUUGGUUAAGUUAGAAAGGGCGCACGGUGGAUGCCUUGGCACUAGGAGCCGAAGAAGGACGGGACUAACACCGAUAUGCUUUGGGGAGCUGUACGUAAGCGUUGAUCCAGAGAUUUCCGAAUGGGGGAACCCACUAUCUUUAGUCGGAUAGUAUCCUUACGUGAAUACAUAGCGUGAGGAAGGCAGACCCAGGGAACUGAAACAUCUAAGUACCUGGAGGAAGAGAAAGAAAAAUCGAUUUCCUGAGUAGCGGCGAGCGAAACGGAAAGAGCCCAAACCAAGAAGCUUGCUUCUUGGGGUUGUAGGACACUCUAUACGGAGUUACAAAAGAAAGUUAUAAAUGAAGCGGUCUGGAAAGGCCCGCCAAAGACGGUAACAGCCCGGUAGUUGAAAUGGCUUUCCCUCCAGAGUGGAUCCUGAGUACGGCG
RNAcentral lists this ribosomal RNA (433 nucleotides) under Listeria monocytogenes. Its description in RNAcentral is "partial 23S ribosomal RNA". It matches the Rfam family "Bacterial large subunit ribosomal RNA", at positions 1 to 419 of the family's 2925-position model. The record is from RNAcentral. Lineage: Bacteria; Bacillati; Bacillota; Bacilli; Caryophanales; Listeriaceae.